Molecule: long non-coding RNA, 344 nt
Organism: Meriones unguiculatus (Mongolian gerbil)
Lineage: Eukaryota; Metazoa; Chordata; Mammalia; Rodentia; Muridae
Exons: 2
Source: RefSeq, a predicted model, not a curated record
GAAGAUCUGAGUUUAGUUCCCAGAACCUGCAUCAGGCAGCAUACGACCACCAGCUCCAGGAGACCCAGGGUUUUCUACUAGCCUCUAUUGGAGGUUGGAGAAAUGGCUCAGUGGUUAAGAGAACUUGUUGCUCUUGAAGAGAACCCAGGUUUGGUUUCUACCAACAACACAACGGCUUUCAACAAUCUGUGACUCCGGUUCCAUGGGAUCCAUCCUUCUCUUCUGACCACCAAGGGCACCAGGUAUGCACAUGGUGUGCAUACAUAUAUGCAAGCAAGUGACUCACACACAUAAAUAUUUUAAUUUUUAACAAGAUUAAUCCAAGUAAAACUCUCGUAGCACUG